RNAcentral lists this ribosomal RNA (465 nucleotides) under uncultured bacterium. RNAcentral's name for it is "partial 16S ribosomal RNA". It matches the Rfam family "Bacterial small subunit ribosomal RNA", at positions 338 to 795 of the family's 1533-position model. The record is from RNAcentral.
CCUACGGGAGGCAGCAGUAGGGAAUCUUCCACAAUGGACGAAAGUCUGAUGGAGCAACGCCGCGUGAGUGAAGAAGGGUUUCGGCUCGUAAAGCUCUGUUGGUAGUGAAGAAAGAUCGCGGUAGUAACUAGCCUUUAUUUGACGGUACUUACUUAGAAAGUACCGGCUAACUACGUGCCAGCAGCCGCGGUAAUACGUAGGUGACAAGCGUUGUACGGAUUUAUUGGGCGUAAAGCGAGUGCAGGCGGUUAAAUAAGUCUGAUGUGAAAGCCUUCGGCUCAACCGGAGAAUUGCAUCAGAAACUGUUGAACUGGAGUGCAGAAGAGGAGAGUGGAACUCCAGGUGUAGGGGUGGAAUGCGUAGAUAUAUGGAAGAACACCAGUGGCGAAGGCGGCUCUCUGGUCUGCAACUGACGCUGAGGAGCGAAAGCAUGGGUAGCGAACAGGAUUAGAUACCCUUGUAGUC